This 253-nucleotide ribosomal RNA is filed under the name uncultured bacterium. RNAcentral's name for it is "partial 16S ribosomal RNA". It matches the Rfam family "Bacterial small subunit ribosomal RNA", at positions 524 to 776 of the family's 1533-position model. The record is from RNAcentral.
UACGUAGGGUGCAGGCGUUAAUCGGAAUUACUGGGCGUAAAGCGUGCGCAGGCGGUCUUUUAAGUCAGAUGUGAAAUCCCCGGGCUUAACCUGGGAACUGCGUCUGAAACUGGAAGGCUAGAGUGUGGCAGAGGGGGGUGGAAUUCCACGUGUAGCAGUGAAAUGCGUAGAGAUGUGGAGGAACACCGAUGGCGAAGGCAGCCCCCUGGGCUAACACUGACGCUCAUGCACGAAAGCGUGGGGAGCAAACAGG